This is a long non-coding RNA of Corvus hawaiiensis (hawaiian crow), 6354 nucleotides long. RefSeq lists it as uncharacterized. The record is from RefSeq and is a predicted model, not a curated record. Lineage: Eukaryota; Metazoa; Chordata; Aves; Passeriformes; Corvidae. The transcript has 2 exons.
GCGAUGCGGGGAUCGGGGGAUGCCAGAGGCUGUCCAGGAGUGCCUGUUCCCCCCUCUUUCCCGGGUCGCCCCAGGGACACGGUCCCCAUCAGGCACCCUAGGACCAGGCUCCUUAUUGGGGCAUGCACCAGGACAAUUCUGCUCAGCCCAGGGGGGCUGGUGCAGGUGGGCUCUGUGUCCCACCUCUUCUCCCAGCUCACAGCCCGGGGAGUCUGGGCACACGGGCCCCCAUGGGUGGUGAUGACUGCUGAGGGGACACUGGGGGUCCCUGAGCAGCAGCUCUGCAGGGUUCAUGCUAUGGGUCUUGCACAGCCAGCGGCUUCUGCCCCUUGGGAAGGACAGGGAGAGGUUUUGGGCCCUUCACACAAAGUCAUGACCGUGGAGGGCUGGGGUCCCUGUGAGGGUCAGGGUACAUUUUUCUGGCCAGCCCUGCUCUGCCACCCCAGGCCUGGUCCCCCCAUCAUCACCCACAUCACAAACCCUGCACCUGCAGUACCAGUGCUGGGACCUGCCAGGUCCCUGAACAGGGAAAGGGUUUUUCCAUCCCACUCCAGUCUUUCCAUUCACCACCCCUGGCUCAAAGCAUGGGCUGGCAUGAGCCUGGUCCCCUCCAUGCCCCACUCAGGAUGCCCCACACUCCCUGGCUGGGACCCUCUUGUCCCCACAACCACACUGAUGCAGAAGCAGCACAGUAGCAGGAAAACUGAAUAAAUCAUGGUGCUGAAUUAUGGAGGAGCUGGCAGGCACGUAGCACAAGCCACGUGGGUAUGAUGCUGGUAAUGCCAGCAUACUCCAUCCUCAUCACCUGCCCCAAUGCCCUUCCUUGUUAGCACCCAAAUAAUCCGUGAAUGGGUGCAGCUGAAGCUGCCUCUCACCAUCCCACACCUUUGCCUCCUUGACCCCUACCUAUUGAGAUCCUGACCCCAACCACAUCCUGCUGUAACCACCAGCCCCCUCCGGAGUGGGGACUGGAGCAGGUGCCCUCAGUCCCAGCCUCUCCCUCCUCCUGGUACUGGUGCUUCCCCUGGUGAAGUCUGGGACACAGCCAGCACCACCAGCUGGGCACCCACCCUCCAGGGACCCCAAGGACUCAAGCAUGCAUCUCAGCAUGGACAGGCAGGAGCUGCUUCUUCAUAAUCCCCUGCCCCAGGAUUUGCUCCUCUGGGCAGGUUCCCUAUGCCUGCACAAGCAGAUUACAGGGGGCUAUUUCUGACGGCAGCUUAAAGGUUUUGGUAAAGGAAUGACGCCAUGGGCCCCCUCUGCAGCAGCACAUGCCAGGGGCACUGGAGGCCUAGGUAUCUGUGACCUGCAGGAGUCUGGGACUGAGAACCACUGGCCCCAUGGAGCAGGGAUAGGGUGCUGGGCUCCUGUGGUGGUGUGUGCUCCCUACCCUAUGGCACAGAGACAGGGUUUGGGGCUCAAUCCCUUGUACUGUCACUGCAGGGGGCAGUGCUAAUGGUGGGGGGCACACCUCACCACCUGCUGAGCAGAGAGGGGAGCAGCCAGAAGGGGAAGGCUGCAAGCACAGGCAGGGCAUGCUGAGAAUUCACCCCCAGCCCAGCCUGGCGUGAGCAGGUGGGUGGAGGCCUCAGCCCCAUCUGUCUCCCACUGCCCCACAUCCGUCCCCCAGCCCUCUGCUCUGAUCCUGUCCCCGUCACACGCAUGGCAGAGGCAGAAACAAAGCAGAAAUAAUCCGUCUGUGCCCCCCGCUGAACCCCAGCCUCACGCCAGGAAUGGGCCACGUCACAGUGCCAUGGGCAUUGCCCCUGCCUGGCCAUGGGGGCUGCAGGGGUCUUCCCCUGGGAUCCCCACAGCUCUGGGGGCUUUGCUGGCAGCCGGGGCCCCGAGCCCCGCUCCAGGCUGUCAUGUCUGAGGGAGCAGCAGCCCUGGGAUUCCCUGGCUUUCACCUUCUGCCAACCCAACCAGUGUCCCACCCCUGUGAGCCAGAGCACAGUGCAGAGGAGCAGGGACAUGCAGGGGGUCCCGAGAAAUGAUGGGGGCUCUCUCCCAGCAUCUGGCUCGGCUCAGCAGAAGCUGCUCCCAGAAUUAGCCCGGGAUGUUCUGGGUGAGGAAAUCCAGCCCGUCAAUCUCAUUAGCAGCGAUUAGCUCCCAGGCUGUCCUCGCCGUCAUGACCCUGCGCAGACGCUGGGCCUGUGCCCACCACCCUCACCAACCCCGCCGCCCUCGCAGCCCACGGGCACUCACGGAAGUACUGCAGGGUCUCCUCUAUCUGCUGGGGGGGUCCUGCUGCCAUCUCCUGGCCACGCUCUGCCCGGCCGAGCGGCGCUGGGGACAGCGGGCGUGGGAUGCAGCGUGGGGUGAAGGAUGCCGGGACAGUGGUUCAUCUCCGGCCACAGAAUGGGGACAGGAUGAAGGAACAGCCCAAAGCAGACCCAGCUCCUCACCCCGCUCGCCCCGGUUCCCCCAGGCGACCCACUGGCACCCCCGGCUCUACCCACCGGUGAUGGUCGCAGCAUCACGGUGUGUGCCCGUGUCUGACCCGUGGGACACCGGGUUGGUGUGGGGACACGCAGCGACAGGUGAGUCCGGGCUGGGCUGGAGGUGGCAGGCGGGUGGGCUCUGGCUGGGGAGGGUCUCUCGUGGGACCGGGGUGUCCAGUUUGGCUGGCGUUACGUGGGGGCCUGGCUGCCAUGGGGAGAGGCACCGUCCGCCCUGGCUCCCUGGAGCUGCGCUGGCGGGCAGCAGAGUCCCUUCUCCGGCUCUGCCUGGGGGGAAGGAGCUGUUGGGGUGAUGCUCUAGGGAUCAGGGACACAUCCUGAACCCCCAUAUCCCCCAGCAUCCUGCCAUAGGACAAACACCUUCCUGGGAGGCAACAUCUGCCAGCCCGGGGGCCGGACGGCAUCUCCAGGGCUCAGGUGCCCCUGCUCCCUGCCGUUGGGACAGGGGAGCUGUGGGAACAGACUCCAGCUCAGUUCCGCCCCUGGAUAUGGGGCAGGUUUAGCAGAGGCAAGGGGUCAGCGUACCUGCUCUGCGGUGGCUGCUACGUGACGCGGGGGGCUCAGCACCAAAGCAGCGCCAGUGCCGGACAGGACAGGACCCUGCCCCGCCACGGGGAUUCCUGCUGGGUCGCUGCCUGUGGAGCGAACAGGAAAGGAGCUGUCGAGCUUCCCGGCAAUGGGCAGACACGGGAGUGGUGCCAGCGAGAGCCCUGGGGAGCUCCACCUCGAAGAGCAAAGUCCACCUGUGAACCUCCACCCUGUCUGCACCAGGAUGCAGAGCGGGGACCUGCCGUGCAGUGCAGGGCAGGGCUGGGCAGCAUCUGCGGCUGCCCCAAUCCAACCAUAAACACAUCAUGAGACGGGCCAUAAAUCCAGCAUAUCCCUGCUCUCCUGCCACCUCCAGUGGCACUGGCUCGGGCUGCAGCCACUGCUGGCACUGCUGCUCCUCUGCCCUGUGGGGCAGGAACCUCUGCACAAGCCCCCUGCCCCAUCUCUACCCCUGCUCCCACCUCUACCACCUCCCCGUGGGGGCUGUGGCACCAGCAGCCCCUCGUUCCUGGCUGCAGGCUCAUGCCAGGGCAUUGCUGCCCUCUCUCCUGGCACAGUAAUGUGUCGCUGCCACAUGCACAGCACCCAGACCAGGCCACCCUGCACCCCCCCGGCACACAGGGACGGCGUGAGGCAACAUGCAGCUCCCAAAGCACACCCACAGCCUUCCCCAGUCCUCUGCCCCAUGGCACUGGGUCCAAUCCUGCACCGCGAUGCCAGGAGAACAGCUCCCCAGCCCCAAGCCCUCAGACCCUCUUCUCCCCAGAGAGGGACAGGGACCCACCGUGUGUAGGUGCCGCGCUGCCGCUGGCUCCGGGGAGGGAGCCCGGCCGGUGAGUCAGCUCAGCCGGGAGUGCCAGAGCCCUGCGUCUGCUUUUGGCCCAGCUCCUGCACGUACAUUCACUCUCCCCGGGGGAACCUUGUUCAGACACGUGCGAGCAGCUCCCAUCGCCCGCUGCUCCCAUCGCCCCCCGCUCCCAUUGACCCCGAACCCCACUGUCCCCCCUCCACCAGCGUUCGGCUGCCGAUGACCCGGGGACCUGCCCCACGGGAGCUGGGCGAGAGCAGGACGGUGCUCCCGGCACCGAUGGGACAGGGGCCAGGAGGAGCAAGGUCCCGGCUCAGUCUGCCCCGGGUUACCUGUGCAGACUCGCGCCUGCUGCUCCCUGCCCUGCCCUGUGCCGUCCUGCAGCUCCUGCCCGGGCACCUCCCGCGGAGCGGCUGAGCGCCGUGAGAAGGGGAGAGACGAGGCAAAUUCUCCGGGGGCUGCGGCAGCCGCCCUCUGUGACACCCCCAGGGGACGGGUGGGGACCGGCUGGGCACGGCCCGGGGCUCGCCCGAGGGAGCUGCCCGGAGAUUUGGGGUACCCGAAGGCAGCCUGGGGGAACGCGGGACACCAUGAGAGCCGGAGGCAGAGCGCACCCGGUGACAGCGGGCACCGGGUGCGCCCCGGAGGUGGGGCGGGACACCGCGGGAGCCGAGGGCUCGGUGCGCCCGGGAGUGCGGGAGAUGCCGGGUUUUUCCCAGGGCGGGGAAUCCCCACACACGCUGGGCGCUGCUCCUGGCGUGGCCGUGGCUGCGGAGCCCUCGGAUAUCGCUCCCGGGCCCUGCCGAUAACGAGAGCCGCUCCCCGGCAGGGGCGGAGCGCGGCCGAGGAUGCCGGGACCCGCAGUCCGUCCCACCGCUCCCGGAGCCCACCCGGGGAUGCCGCUCCCUGGGGACCCCGCAAGCAGCUCCGGUUGCUCUGGUCCCGGUGUGCUCUGGCUCCGCUUCCCCCAACAAUCCCGGACGUGUCCGCUGGCAGCUCUGCCGCAGUGGGACUGGGGAUACCGGGACGUGCAUUCCUGCCCCAACGUGCACGGGGGCCACAACCCUGCCCACGGCUCCAGGAUGGCUGCAGGACCCGACCCCUCCUAGGGCAGAUGUUCUGGGGCAUCUCCAAACCCGCUGGCACUUUGGGGACAGCCAGAGCUGACAGCAGGAACACCCCUGUGACCCGCAGCAGGGCUGACUGCGAGCCACGAGGUGGGGCCCAGGCCCCCAUUCCCGGCGCACAGGGCUGGAGCCAAGGCCUGUCACUGAUUGUCUCCUGCUCUGGCAGCAGCCACAGCAGGCCCAGGGCUGUCUGGCCCCCAGCCUCAUCCCACGAGCCACCCCAGACCCAUUGCCCUUGGGAAGUGCUCUGGGUUCUGCUGGGACUGCCCGGAAAGCAGCUGUUGUUUUGCUCAUCGCUGGUGCUGGCACGGGCUGCGGCAGGAAGCAGAUCCACUUCCCCAAGCACUGGGGUUGGCUGCGGCCAUGGCGCUGAGCUCAGGCAGGAUGUUCCCCCCAGUCCCACUUCCCAGACCAGCUCCUGCUGCUUUGUCCCCGCUCGCUCCUGUCCCAAGCACAGCACAUGAACCUCGGUGUCCUGCCAUGCUCUGUGGCAGCCCGGGCCCAUGGCCAGGCAAAGCAGGUGCCAAGCAUGGGAAUGAGCCCACCAAGAGCCCUCUACCCCACGGAGGGACUCACCAUGGGCCCACAGAGGGCGAUGGCUUCGCCUUCCCCUGGCUGCCCCGAGGGACCGUCCCCAGCCGACAGAAGAACAGGCUCAGGGCAGCACGGGGCUGCAGGGGUUAUUUUAUUCUUUGCUUUGGUCUAUACAAAAACAACUUACAGAAAUAAUAAAAUCUUCCAUUCCUGACCCACACUCCAGUAACUGUCCAUCCCUUUCCAGCUGGAGUGUUAAACCACCAUCAGAUCUAAAGCCUCUUUAAAAAAUGCGUUAGAUAAGGGAGGAGGGGAUGGAAACACACCACUCACCAAAGAGAAGGGAAACGGGUUAAAAUGUGCAACAAAGAUCGGUACAAGGACACAGUUCCUAAUGCUGGAGUCACUCCUCUAUGGGGACUGGCAGGACAGGGACACGAAGUCAGCUCCCAGUGGCUGAUGGGAAAGAAUUAAACCUCAGACACCCCGAAGGUCCUGGGACACGGACCCUUUGCUUUCAGCAAACUCUGGGUUGGCCUGAUUCAGUUGGAGUUUGCAGGAAGCAAAGGGUUUUUUUCAUGUCAGAUUCCUCUCCUAGAACACUAACACGCAGAACAAAUCGUGGGGAAGUUAGAAAGCACAAACUUAAAGACGGCAAAAGCCGCUGGCACCAUAUUAAAAAUAAAAAAGAAAUAUAUAUUCAUAGAAAAGACUAUUUUGCCAAAGAAAGAUCACUAACGGUGCAGGGUUUGUGUUUUAAAGCUUCAGAAACAGUAUCUUGGAUGCUGGAUGCAGCAGUAGGUGCUCGAAGCAGUCCCAGGAGGAAGGACCUUCUCCACAGACCCACAGCGAAGAAAACAAAUCGAAAAAUAAAACC